Suricata suricatta (meerkat) is the source of this 679-nucleotide long non-coding RNA. RefSeq lists it as uncharacterized. The transcript is spliced from 2 exons. The record is from RefSeq and is a predicted model, not a curated record. NCBI's taxonomy places the organism in Eukaryota, Metazoa, Chordata, Mammalia, Carnivora, Herpestidae.
CCCAGGUCACUUGACAGCCAAAUGGAGGAGUCAGUGUGCCAGCCCUCCGUUGGUCACUGUGGGAAGUUCUCUGGGCUUGUGGCCUCUUAGGCUGCUUCUUAGCCUGGCCUGUCUGAGGGCAGGGGCCAGGUCCCACCAUCUGAACACCCAUAGUGUUGCCACAGCACCUGGCAGCCAGCAGGGCUGCGAUAAAUUCUCCCAAGCCCAUGAAUGGAUGGGACCAACCUUAACUUCUCCACUUGACCGCUUCAUCUCUGAGUUUGUCCUUCUGUGCACCCAGGAGUACCCACACCAUCCACGGUAAUUGGCCCAGAAGAAGAUGGCUUCCCCAAGCUGCCUUCCACCUGCUCUUCCAGCACCCUGUGCACCCCUGCACAUACCAAGAAAUGAAAGCAAAGGCUGCUGGAGCCACAAAGGACCUCAGAGCAUCCAGUCCAGGCCCCUGAGAAGGGUUGUGUGGGAAUUCCACCACCUGGGGACUAUUUGCAAGUCCAAGGAAGAGCCAAGUCCCAACACCAGCCUGAGAUGCCCCAAACGGGAAAGGACGAGGAGGCACCAGGACAGACAGCACCAAGUCGCUGGGUGCACAAUCUCAGCCGGCCCUUGCAGGCUGGGAGGAGGGGAGGGAACAGGGCGAUUGCACAACAAUAUUAAAUGCAGAAGAAAAAUUGGGGUUUAA